RNAcentral lists this long non-coding RNA (283 nucleotides) under Trifolium pratense (red clover). RNAcentral's name for it is "long non-coding RNA (TPRA_LNC004182)". Lineage: Eukaryota; Viridiplantae; Streptophyta; Magnoliopsida; Fabales; Fabaceae. The record is from RNAcentral.
UCAAAGCAAAAUGUCAAAUACCAAUAUGAGAAUGUGAAAAUAAAUCAGACUAAGGAUAAAUGUUUAUAAAGAUAUUAGUGUCAACAAAACUUAUUUUGGUUUAUGAAAGUGUGGUGCGGUCCUGCCUGUCGAUAAUAUGAUAUUCUUUGCCUUCCUAUCUGCUAAAGCAAACAAGGAAAAGAAAAGAAUGUAUUUAAACACUAUGAAUAUACAUGCAUCUUGUAUAAGGCAACAUUCAUUUCUAGGUUUAUGAAGUCUCAUAGAUUUUUUUGGACUAUAUAUC